Molecule: ribosomal RNA, 1213 nt
Filed under: uncultured Rhizaria
Lineage: Eukaryota
Description: SSU rRNA
Rfam family: Eukaryotic small subunit ribosomal RNA
Source: RNAcentral
CGGUAAUUCCAGCUCCAAUAGCGUAUAUUAAAGUUGUUGCGGUUAAAAAGCUCGUAGUUGGAUUUCUGUUGAGGACGACCGGUCCGCCCUCUGGGUGAGUAUCUGGCUCGGCCUCGGCAUCUUCUUGGAGAACGUAGCUGCACUUGACUGUGUGGUGCGGUAUCCAGGACUUUUACUUUGAGGAAAUUAGAGUGUUUCAAGCAGGCACACGCCUUGAAUACAUUAGCAUGGAAUAAUAAGAUAGGACCUCGGUUCUAUUUUGUUGGUUUCUAGAGCUGAGGUAAUGAUUAAUAGGGAUAGUUGGGGGCAUUCGUAUUUAACUGUCAGAGGUGAAAUUCUUGGAUUUGUUAAAGACAAACAGCUGCGAAAGCGUUCCGCAAGGAUGUUCCCUUUGAUCAAGAACGAAAGUUGGGGGAUCGAAGACGAUCAGAUACCGUCGUAGUCUCAACUAUAAACUAUACCAGCUAGGGAUCGGCCAACGUUUAAUUAUUCGACUUGGUCGGCACCUUAUGAGAAAUCAAAGCAUCUGGGUUCCGGGGGGAGUAUGGUCGCAAGGCUGAAACUUAAAGGAAUUGACGGAAGGGCACCACCAGGCGUGGAGCCUGUGGCUUAAUUUGACUCAACACGGGAAAACUUACCAGGUCCAGACAUAGGAAGGAUUGACAGAUUGAUAGCUCUUUCUUGAUUCUGUGGGUGGUGGUGCAUGGCCGUUUUUAGUCGGUGAAGUGAUUUGUCUGCUUAAUUGCGUUAACGGACGAGACCCCAGCCUGCUAAAUAGCGCGGCCGAGCUUUGCUCGGUGCGAGCUUCUUAGAGGGACCAUGAUGCGCGAUAGCACAAGGAAGUUUGGGGCAACAACAGGUCUGUGAUGCCCUUAGAUGUUCUGGGCCGCACACGGGCUACACUGGCGCCUGCAACGAGCAUAUCAGCUGGCCCGAGAGGGUCUUGGCUAAUCUUUGGAACCGGCGCCGUGCUUGGGAUUGACCAUUGCAAUUGUUGGUCAUGCAACGAGGAAUGCCUUGUAAACGCGAGUCAUCAGCUCGCAUUGAAUACGUCCCUGCCCUUUGUACACACCGCCCGUCGCUCCUACCGAUGAAUGUUCCGAUGAAAUUUUCGGAGAGCGCCGGAGAACGGGGCUCUGCCCUGCAGAACUGGAGGCUCAAAGUCACUUAAAUCUGAACAUUUCGAGGAAGGAGAAGUCGUAACAAGGUAACC